AUGGAAGCCUGUGGAACACUUAUGUCCCCAAUUGUAGCUAUGUUGGUUACGCAGCAUGCACUGAGAAAUAAAAAUAGAGACUCAAAAAUAAUUUUCCUCCCAGUUGUAUCUUUGAACUACAUAGGCACGGAGGAUAUUGAAAUUCAAGGAAAACUUCCUGCUCUCAAAUAUUCCAGAGAUAAGCCUUCUCAUUUGGAAAUGCAUUGGACAUUUACAGAAAUGUUAGAAAACAGUCUAUUGUAUCUAAUGCUAAGAAGAAUAUUCUUCGUUGGACUUAUAGCAAUCCUACUUGUCUUUCCGGUGUGCCUCGAAGACUCUGACCACUCUUCCAUGGGUCAUUUUUCAAGAUUGUUUAUGUACCUGGUGACUUUCGCAGGUAAGAGAAUUAGUUGUCUCCUGGACAAAGAGAUGCUUGCUUACUGCUUGCUGUAAAUUUGAUCACUCCCCCAAGCUAAGUGUUACUCAGCUAUGACUCAAAACGCCACUGCAUGUACAGAAUCCAUUUGGGCCUUUUCACAUCACUCUCGUGGAACUAAGAACAAAAGGAAAGCAACACAAAUAUGCGGAUGUUCAUGACGCUUGUGCCAUAAGUGAUGCAUUCCUUGCUCUCUGACCCAAGAGCCUGUUGUUUACUGCCAGCACCAGUGAGUGGUAACAGGUUAACACAUGAGUUUGUAAUUGGGUAAAAUCAAGUUCUGGACCUAACACCUACCUUGCAGCAGUAUUGUAAAGGUCAGUGUAUUUGUGUAUAUGAAAGUAAUUCAAAAUUGUAAAAUCCUAUGCAAUGGUGAAGAAUUGUUACUCUAAAAUAGUAAAAAGUAUUUAAGGAAGAGCAAAGCUGCUUUUGGGGCUUCCCUGGUGGCUCAGACAGUAAAGAAUCUG
Molecule: long non-coding RNA, 882 nt
Filed under: Capra hircus (goat)
Lineage: Eukaryota; Metazoa; Chordata; Mammalia; Artiodactyla; Bovidae
Description: lncRNA (ENSCHIG00010017824.1)
Source: RNAcentral